AGGUCAAUUCUUUAACUAAUCCGCAUGCCGGGUUUCCGGGGUGGGCAAGUGUUUUGGGGUUCGUCAGUUAAUAAUUUGUUGUCCUGAUAAUUAGUAAUGUGUUGCUAGUUUCAGUUUGCUGUAUCUUAUUGCCUUGCUCCGCAACUCGGGAGAAAUGUCACGACAACCAGCUUUCUUGGGUUUUGCUAAUGAUAAUUAAUUGUUCUAGUAAUCCGAUUAAAGUACUUUUUAAGCAAUUUGGGGCACUGCAAGGUGCUUAAGAAAGCUUCAAAUCCGGUUUGUACUUUGCAUGCGUAUGAAGUAGCAGUAGCUAUUAAGAGAAAGAAAGUGGGAAUAAAGGAUAAUCCUAGCAAAUCUGGCCCAAGAUAUGCUAUCUCACAAGUCAAUAACCUACAACUCUAUGACUGCCAGGGAUAAUGAUCAACUCUAAUUAGUCUCCUAGAACUACUGUGGCAAUCCCUAAUGCGAAGAUAAAUCUGUUUCAUAACUUCACCCAAGCUUGCCGUGCUCUUCUUAUGCACUGAAUCUAUGUACUUACUUGAUCCUUUACAAAGGUUUGCACCUCUGACAAUUUUGAAUUUCUUGGCAAUAGGAUGCAAAGGAUUUUUGCUGAUGUAGUUCAUAGUCCUUUACGUUACAAGACUCAGACGCAAAAUUUAUUCUACUUUUUCAUUUCGCAUUAGAAAAUGGAGUAGUUAUCAAUUAUCAUCACGACCGGAUCUUUUAGAAUUCCCAACCAACUCUUCAAUUUUGCUUGAAGGUUGUGAUGUGGGCAGAGGAAUGUGGUAAAUUUGAACUGCACAUGUUAGGUGCUGGAAGAAAUCAGAUCACUUCCUGGCCCCUCUUAAGGGGAUGAAAGGUCGUUUAAAGUAGACAAGAGAUUGUUUUGGUUAGUGCCUUGAGUGUGCAACUAUCCCAUUCAUCCUCUAAGCUUUCAUAGACACUGCUGCUAAACACUUUCCAAGAUUCUCUGUUAACUUUGAGCUCAUAAGCCAGAUAUAAUGCAUUGUCAUUGAUAUAAGUAGCUGAGUGUCAUGCUUGUAAAGGAUUUGCAAGAAGUAGUCUCCGAUGCGUAUUAGCAUUGCAUCACCAAAAAUUAUCAGGGAUAUAUGAGAUGAGAAAAAUUUCCACUUUACUUUCUUGGGUUCAAGAUUUGCAGCUGCAUCCUUCCUUAACACAGCAUGAACAUGAAUAAAAUAUUCCUUCCGUCCUCUUUAGUGAAGCCAUCUGCAUCUGUCAUGUCCUCUACAGUUACUUGGAGACAUCUCGGAUGAAUUGAAAACAGCACCUAAAAAUGAGCAAUUUUGGUUUUGGUUGUUGAAUUUGUCCACAAACAAACUAAAAAGGUUGCAGCAUGAGUUGAAUACUCGGUACAAGUAAAAAGCAUCCGAAGAUUUGUGGUUGCAUAUGACUUUGCUGUGAGUUUUGCUAAUUUUAAGGUGUGUUGCAAUGAAGGGGCAGACAUGGCGUCUUUAGCGACAGCUGAAGCUUGUGAUACAAAUGCAGCACUUCUGGCUAGUGGUGACCUGCGGGUACUGCAACCCGUUUUCCAGAUUUAUGGUCAGUGUCGAGCAUUCUCAGGGACCAUAGUCACUCUUAAGGUCUUUGAGGACAACGUGCUGGUUAGGGAGACUCUUGAAACUAGAGGCGAAGGCAGAGUACUUGUAAUAGAUGGUGGAGGAAGCAUGAGGUGCGCCUUGGUAGGAGGAAACUUGGGACAGCUAGCCCAAAAUAUGGGUUGGGCUGGAAUUGUAGUCAAUGGGUGCAUUCGAGACGUGGAUGAGAUAAAUUCCUGCGAUGUUGGAAUUAGAGCCUUGGCAUCCCACCCCCAGAAAUCUAACAAAAAGGGUAUUGGUGAAAAGCACAUCCCAGUUGUUGUUGCAGGAACCUUGAUCCGCAAUGGGGAAUGGCUGUAUGCAGAUAGUGACGGCAUCCUUGUAUCAAAAACUGAGCUUUCGGUUUGACCGAAGCCUGUGGCGCUGGAAUCAGUUGCUAAGGAAGAUUUUGAUUCAUGAAAUGUAAUAAGAGCAUUUGUACCAUGAACAUUGACAUUAUUGAAUUGAUGAUGAAUUAUUUGACAAGUUCAGCUUAUUAGUGGUGUAUCUCAAAAGUUACACUUUAGAUUUCUGUGAGAGCAAAGGUCUGCACGAAUUUCCAUUGCAACUUCCCACAUCAUAGCCUCUGUUCAAAAUUUUGUUUUCCGAAAAUAGUUUUUGAGUUCGAGCUCGACUCAUUUCUAAAACAACUCAUUCGAGCUUGAAUUCGAUCUAAAUUUUUAUCUAGUCGAGUUGAGUACUUCCGAAGAUAAUUUUGGAGUUAAAGCUCAAUUUCUAAAACAAGCUAUUCAAGUUUGAAUUCGAUCUAAAUUUUUAUUGAGCCAGAGCUGAGUACCAAGCCACUCUAAGUAGCUCUGUUGACUUGCACCCGUUGAGCCUUUUUCAUAGAGCAGCAGGUAAUAAAAAACACGCUUUCAGCAGUUACUCGGAGAUAAGAGGCACGAAGCAUAUGCUGUAGUAAGUGGUUUCUUUUGGCUUAAACCCUUGUAAACGUUAACUGUACGGAUUGGGUACUCAAGAUCACCACUAGCCCAAAAAGUUUAAAAAAAAAAAUUAAAAUCAAUGAAGGGCGGCAACAAGGUUGCAGCGGGCGGCGGCCGUUCACUGGAGGGGCUACCGGACACCCUAAUCACUGAAAUUCUGGAAAAGUUAGACUUGGAAUCGCUUUGCUCCACGGCGUGUGCUUCCAGGGCCUUCCGCUCCUCUGUCGCUCAACAUCUUUCCACUCUUCCCUCGCUUGAUCUUUCUGUUAAGUCGACUUCACUGCCCAAAUUAACAAUUUUCGUCGGGAACAAAAUCUAAUUUUUGUUUUCCGAAUUGUUGAUUCUUUGUGAAACUUUAAGAAAGAUGGCUUUUGCUAACUGUUUAUGAUAGUACCCGUAAAAUUGCUUGCUAUAAUGCUGUACAGAAACCUGUAGAAAUUGGAUUUGUUCACUUCAUUUAUUAUAGCUUGAUUAGCAAAUAUAAGUGCACAUUUUUCUACCCGUAGGAUCGCAAUUUUGUUCCUUUUUUUUUCAUUUCCCUUGUUGUUGUUAUAUAUUUUCUUCUUUUUUUUUUGAGUUAUGCAAAUAUCAAUGAACCGAACAACAUGGCAGGUUUUUGCUCCGAAUGCUCAGACUCUGAAUCACAUUCUUCAUAGGUUCAGUGGUGUCAGGAGUGUCACUAUUGACUGCCUCCGCCUGGAGACCUCUUCAGUCAUAGGUAUUCUUGGAGCUAAUAUCCAAGAAUUAAAUUUGUUGAAGGGUUGCUUGCUGUCUUAUUCUCUUUUCACUUCAAUUGGGAGGAGUUGCCCUAAUUUGAGGUACUACUUUUCGUUUUUUCCUAGAUUACCUAACAGAUUUUUCUUUCAUAUUAAAUGGAGCCUGAUGCAGACUAUGUCCUGAACUUUCAUAGCUGUAGAGAAAACUUGCUUUAGGAUUAUGGUUCAAAAAAAGCAGCUGUCAGAAUUGCCUGUGUAAAUGGAUACUUUAGUGAUAACUGAUAAGCAAGUGAGUGCGCCACUUUUUUUUGUUUUUUUUUUCGUCCCUGCUAUACAUGCAUCUCGCUGUUAUAUUUUUACCAUAGUGGUUUUAAGACUCCAUUGUAAUUAAUUUUCAUCAUUUUUGGGCCAUAAUAUGUUUAUGCUUUUCAAUUGAAAGACCGCCAACGUUAAGUCAGUUCUAAACUCGAUCAUAUUGUCGAUCACAAAGCUAGUUCAUUUGUUGAAGAGUUCCCUGGAUGUAUCUGAGAAAUUUGGGGUGGUACAAGCAAUGCUGCUGAAUGGACAUGCUAAAUGCUACAUGAACUUGUCUGCAAUGAAUUGUCCCUCUAGAAGCUUUUUAAUUUGUAUACUUACUUUGUGCUCUUUCUGAUAUUACAUCAGGGUUCUCGCGCUGGAAUUAGUUGGGGAACAGUUACCUGAACUCUUCGAGAAAAAUCUUGUUGAGAUGCUUAAAAAUCUUAUACAGUUGGAGGUAAACUGCAAUCCCUAGUCCAUUUUGUUCGUUUUAUUAUUCGUGAUCACUAAAGCAUGCUACUUAGCAAUAUUGACAUCUAGCAGAAAAGAGUUUGGUCACUGAUUUAAAAUUCUUUUUCCUACAGUCUUUAUCUCUUAAAAUACGAGAAAUAGAACAUGAUGUGUACAGUAUAAAAUCCAUUCAGCCGUUUUUGCCAAGAAGUCUCAGAUUUUUAAAGCUUCAGCAAGUGGGUGAACAGAGUGCAAUUCAAUUACUACAAGAACAUUUAAAUGUUGGUAAUUCAUUAGAAAUCACAUCCACUUUUAGCUCUAUCCCAGCUGCUCUUCUUCAUCCGCCGACUGAGCUACAGCAUUUAUCACUCGUAUUGGACAUUAUCAGUGAUGAACUUGUUAUCUGCAUCGUCAAUGCACUUCCCCUUAUAGUUGAGCUGAAUCUUGAAGACAGAACGUACAAGGAGCCACUCAUGCCUCAUGACCUGACCAAUAAUGGGAUACAGUCCUUGGGGUCUUGUCGGCGUCUAACUGCUCUCUCAAUUGUACGUAGUAGACAGAAUUAUCCUGUAUGUUUCAAACGGAUAAACGACUUGGCAAUGUUUCUUCUUUCUGAGAAUUGUAGAGGCCUGGAAUCUGUUACCUUUGGUGGAUUUUCCACAGUUACUGAUGCCGGCUUUUCAGCAAUUUUGCACUCUUGCCGAAAUUUGAAACGAUUUGAAAUUCGUAAUGCAUCUCUGCUAUCAGACUUGACCUUUCACAGUAUGGCAGGCGCUGCAGAUACCCUUGUUGAGAUGAAGAUGUUUUCAUGCAACCUUAUAACUAGUGAAGCUGUAUUGCAACUGGCAUCUUGUACUAGGUUAGAGGUGCUCGAUUUGUGUGGAUGCAGGAGCAUAGCAGAUACAUGCCUUAGCUGCUUGACAUUUUUCAAUAAACUUGCAACAUUAAACCUUAGUGGGGCUGAUGUGACUGACAAUGGUCUUGCUGUUCUUGGCGGUGGACAUUCUCCCAUUGCACGUUUACGUCUUAGGGGCUGUCGGAGAAUAACUGAUAAAGGAAUUUCUCUUCUAUUGCUGGGUAGAGGGACAAUUAGCAAGACACUUGCAUCUCUGGAUGUUGGUUACAUGCCAGGAAUAUCGGAUGAAGCUAUUUAUACCAUUGCUUCAUCCGCUCAAGCGGUUACUGAGUUAUGUAUGAGGUAUUGCUUCUUUGUGACAGAUGCUUCAUUAAAAGCAUUAGCUUUAAAGAGAAGGCCGCUUGAUGGAACUUCACCUCUCAAAAGGCUCGAUGUUUUUCACUGCCCUAGAUUGUCUGCUAUCGAAUUGGUGGGAUUUUUGAGGAAGCCAUCAUUCCUUAAUUUGAGGUGGCUCGGCGUUGGCCUCACUGCCGCAGCUUCCAGAAAAGAUGACUUUGCUCAAAUUUGCAAAGAACGAGCGUGGCUGACCCUUUGUUUUGAUGGUUGUGAAAUAGGAUGUCAUGAUGGAUGGCAAUUUCACAGGCCUCAUGGUGGCUGACAUCCAAUGUGCGUUCAUUUUUUGUACAUUCGCGGCCAAUGUCAAGUCUGGUUCAUGCAUAGGAACUUUAUACAAAGUUUUUCUUUUCUUUUGGCUUUUUGGUAAUAUAACCUAAAGAUUUAGCAUGUAUUAAAUAGUAGACUUUUAUGCGUUUUUUUUUCUUAAACUUCUAGUCUAAGCGGUGAAUUGCAAUCCCUUUUUAAACUAUAUGCUUCAUCAAAACUGAAGGCCAUAAUCCCGGUCAUUCUUGCACUCAAAAAAUAAUAAUAAUAAAAAAAGACUCCACUUCUGUUGGCGUUAAACUCCUGCUCAAGUGCGGAGAGACGCUCCAUUGACUCGUCAUCACGUAAAGAAAAUUUCCACACGCAUGAGAUCACAAUCCGAUAUACCCUUAUAUAAUAUAAGAAUGAGUUAUGAGUAAAGAAGGUUUAUAUAAGAAUGACUUGUGAAUAAAGGAAGUUCGAAUUUCAAUCGCAUGGAUAGAGACUUUUUAAAAAUGUGAAAUAUUAUAUAGUUUUUUUAAAACUUUUGAUACAAUUAAAAACAACAUAUAUUUAAAUAUAUUUAUUAAAAUGCCCUUAUUUUGCUACAUUUAAAACUUUGAUUUAUGAACACAUUUGAGUAUUUUUGAAAUAUGAAAUUAUUUUACAACCACUUUUGCAUUGAAUACAAUUCAUAUAAACUUAUGCGUUGAUA
This 6212-nucleotide long non-coding RNA is filed under the name Coffea arabica (coffee). RNAcentral describes it as "long non-coding RNA (CARA_LNC003636)". The record is from RNAcentral. Lineage: Eukaryota; Viridiplantae; Streptophyta; Magnoliopsida; Gentianales; Rubiaceae.